Molecule: small nuclear RNA, 140 nt
Filed under: Aotus nancymaae (Ma's night monkey)
Lineage: Eukaryota; Metazoa; Chordata; Mammalia; Primates; Aotidae
Description: U4 spliceosomal RNA (ENSANAG00000005239.1)
Rfam family: U4 spliceosomal RNA
About the family: U4 small nuclear RNA (U4 snRNA) is a component of the major U2-dependent spliceosome. The structure of U4 snRNA from yeast and human has been reported.
Source: Rfam by way of RNAcentral
AGCUUUGCGCAGUGGCAGUAUCUUAGCCAGUGAGGUUUAUCCAAAGCGCGAUUAUUGCUAAUUGAAAACUUUUCCCAAUACCCGCCAUGACUACCUGAAAUAUAGUCAGCAUUGGCAAUUUUUGACAGUCUCUAUGGAGA